ACCUAGCUUUCUAAAAUGCUUACAUUUAUUAACCUAUAAAACAAGAAGACUCUGCUGUUGGCAAACCAUGCAGUGUGAGCUUUUCGCAGUGUAGUAGCUCUUGGUUCUACAAAAUGUGGAAAUUUGCCCCCCCCCUUUUAAAAUCCCCCCAUGCAUUUAUGACAUUGCCUAAGUGAUGAGUUGAAAUAUGUGGCAUUGACCGUAAGGAGCAUUCAUUCACUAUUUACUGAGCAACAUCUUGGCGCCAGCGACUGUGCAAAGUGCUUAUCACUUUAAGAGGAGAGGAGUCAAACAAUACCCAUUGUGGAGGUGUUACAGCUAAAUGUUUUCAAAUUUUCCUUUCUUGUCUCCUAAAAGUUUGCCUUCGAGUAAAUUCUUUCUUUGGCCCUUUCUGGGUUUUGUUAGAAUGAAUAUACCAGGAGAUUUAGGACAAAAAGGCUAAGAGUUGCCUAAAAAUAUAAAUCUUAUAAUUCCUCAAUGGCUUUGUGGGCACCUGCUUACCCUGUUAGUACUUGCCUAAAUUAAAAAAAAAAAAAAUUUCCCCCAGCAACAAAGUUUUAUUUAAAAAAUAAGACAUGAGGAGAAUUGGACAAAGUGUUGAAAAGAACUUCAACUCCUCUGAAUCACUGAAUUAAAGUCAAUUAAGUAGCAUUGAGGUGGUAGAAAGACGAGGAAGACCCCGGGGCUCAGGUCACUUCCAAAUUAAAGGAAUUGAAGAGAGGCUCUGGGAUUGUGUGUGGAGCAGAGGGGCCAGGGGCAGGGAUGGGGAAGGAAAACUGGACCAGAACGGACAGAUAAACUGAUUGUGCAGGUUCUUCCAAUCACUCACUUUAGCGUCAGGGAAACUGAGGCACAGACAAGCUAGGCGACCUGCCCAAGACCACACAGCUAGAAUCCACACCUGCCUGUUCAGGGAGGUUCAGCUCUGGGUUCUGCAAGACCAUCCCGACAGCCCAGACUCUCCCCGCCCGCGCGCGCCCCCGCCAGACCGAGCACGGUUCACGCCCAGCCCCCAGUGAAGCAGCCGGCCAGUAGGGGUCCCCGGUGCCCCUGGUGCCGGCCCGGCAGAGCGGCGAGGGCGAGGGUCGGGGUGGACACCGGGUCCUGGAGGCCGGAGCGGGUUACCUGCGCUACGCCGCGCUCUCCCGCGAGGUCUGAGGCCCCUGGAGCGGGAACGCCGGGGUCACCGCCCACCGGGCCCGCCCCGAGGGGCCCCGCCGCCCGCCGCCCGCCGCCCGCCGCCCGCCGCUCGCCACCCGCCGCCGCGCUCCCGCCGUCCGGGUCCGCUCGCCCCGCGGCCGCCGAGGCCGUUAGGGCCUCUCCCUCCCCGCCAGCAGCCGGCCCUCCGCGCCGCCACUGGUUGCCAUGGGGACGCGGCCGGAACAAGCCGCCGCCGCGGAGGGAUGAAAUUGUUUUGGAAGGGAUGAGGAGAGCAGGAAGUUCCUGA
RNAcentral lists this long non-coding RNA (1447 nucleotides) under Felis catus (domestic cat). Its description in RNAcentral is "lncRNA (ENSFCAG00000043204.2)". The record is from RNAcentral. Lineage: Eukaryota; Metazoa; Chordata; Mammalia; Carnivora; Felidae.